This is a long non-coding RNA of Pseudophryne corroboree (corroboree frog), 1998 nucleotides long. RefSeq lists it as uncharacterized. Lineage: Eukaryota; Metazoa; Chordata; Amphibia; Anura; Myobatrachidae. The transcript has 5 exons. The record is from RefSeq and is a predicted model, not a curated record.
UAUCCCUGACAAUGACCACAAUGAUGUUACACUGCUACCAUCGCCAGCUGGACGCAGCCCACCUCCAGGGGGAGGCGAUUAGCAUGCGGUCCAGCUGUGCGUUCCACACGGCCGGCGGCUAUUCUGUGGGCGUGGCUAGCGCCAAUUAUUAUGGUAUUUAGCAGGGGCCGGUGAGGCACCAUCUGUGUCUCCAGUUUCCCUGCAAGGCUGAAUUGAAGUUGAACUGCUGCCAUUGUUGACUGUAUUUAUUCCUUGAAAAAGGCCCCGUCAGGGACCGAAACGUUGGACAUUGCUGGAGAUCGUUUGAUACUUCAUAUGAACUUAGAUGUUGACUGCUAGAUGAUAUGCCACAGUACGCCAUCUAGAAACGUAUAAGGUGUGUAGAACAUUAUUUCCGAAGUUACGGGACAUGAUGGAAUGGCGGGAUUUUCCUGGCCUCCAUAACAACUGGGUUCAAGGACAAUUUCCAGAGACCUGCACUACCAAACAAAACUAUCCUGUCUUGAGCGGAAAUGUUCCAGCAAACAGGGUCUGUGGCUAUUCCGGCAGAGCCUGCAGCACCACGAGCAAUGUGCAAGGAUGGAAAAAAGCCCCAACACGUCAGGCGGUCGGGCCGGAGCUGUGUCACUUCCGCGGGGCGUAGUGAAUGCAGGGCCAGAAUCCGGGCAGCGUGCCAGGUGGCAGCGGGGAGGACCUUCACUUUUGGCAGACAAUAUGUUUUCUGACUCUGGGGAGCACCACCAAGUGUGUAGAUUUUAAAAUUAAGGUAACUGGCGGUGGGACAAGCCGAGCUGGGCAUCGCUUGAUGACGUCAGGAAACCAUCACGUCAGUUCCCUGUGCGUGGACCUAGCAGCACCGAGCGGCAUGGAGCAAGAGAGACUGCUUAGCAAUUUGUAAAUAAGCUGGAUGGGGUAUAAAUAUGUCUUAAAUGUAUGUCAUAUUGUGUAUGAUUAAACCGGACGACGGGUGUGAGCCCGAAACAUGACGUAGGAAUAAAGGACUAAUUUUUAAAGUCUAGAGCAUGCCGCCCAUGAUUCUUGUUACUACAUUGGGCCAUUGGACCUGGGGAGGGCACCAGAGCAAGAUAAAUGUGAAAGACCAGCAAUAAUGAGUGCCGGAUCAAGCUGUAUGUAUGUAUGUAUGUAUAUAUAUAUAUAUAUAUAUAUAUAUAUAAAAUGAAAAGUAUUGCGCCACUUGCGAGUAAAACAGAGCCUGAUAUUGUCUGGCAGGUAAAAAUAAUUCAAACACACACACACAUAUAUAUAUAUAUAUAUUUUAUAUAAAAACCACUCUGCAAUCUAUAUGGGCGUCAGCUAUUCCCAAAGUACACAGGAGUAGUAAGUCCCUGAAAUUUUUUGGAUAGGAAACGAAGGGGUUCUAAUCGGCCAAUGGUGUUUAUAUUGAAUAUAACUAAAUAAAGGAGCAAUGCUCAAUGUAUAUAAAAAUAUAUAUAUGAGAGAGACAGCAUUAUGCUAAAGCAGCUAUCAGCCAUCUUGUAUAACAGUAGCCAUUUUAGAGAUGCUUCAGGCUUCGUAAUGAGUUAUACAAAUGCUAACAUUUAGUUAAGUUAGAAUAGAGAGAAUGUUCUGUGAGACCCAAAGGUCAAGCUGGCCUCCUGGAAACAUGUUAUGAGACAGUUUGUUGAGAGUAUAGACUGCUUCCCAAGGACAGAAAGGAGGGGGUAGCGAGAGAGCAUUUCUCAGAAAAGACGCUUGUGUUUUGUUUUAUGACAUGUAUCAAGUUCUUCAUGCAAGUAACUUUUUGCUAUAUAAUCCCUAGACGAAUAAACGAGCUUCAGUCUCAUUCUGCUGACAUAACCCUGCAUCUUGUCUGCUUUCUGGGAUUCCCAAUGCAUUGGUAAAGGUAUCGAACAGACAACUGAAGGGAGUUGGUAGAGGAGUCUGAUCUCCAACAAUACAUGGGGCAUCGUGUCCGGGAUCACUGAACUGCCGACACCAGAUGACAACACAACUGAUGGACAUAUACAACCGCUGACA